CAAAACUUUCAACAACGGAUCUCUUGGCUCUGGCAUCGAUGAAGAACGCAGCGAAAUGCGAUAAGUAAUGUGAAUUGCAGAAUUCAGUGAAUCAUCGAAUCUUUGAACGCACAUUGCGCCCGCCAGUAUUCUGGCGGGCAUGCCUGUCCGAGC
RNAcentral lists this ribosomal RNA (153 nucleotides) under Tolypocladium nubicola. RNAcentral's name for it is "5.8S ribosomal RNA". It matches the Rfam family "5.8S ribosomal RNA". From Rfam's summary of the family: 5.8S ribosomal RNA (5.8S rRNA) is a component of the large subunit of the eukaryotic ribosome. The record is from RNAcentral. Lineage: Eukaryota; Fungi; Ascomycota; Sordariomycetes; Hypocreales; Ophiocordycipitaceae.